This 497-nucleotide ribosomal RNA is filed under the name uncultured bacterium. RNAcentral describes it as "partial 16S ribosomal RNA". It matches the Rfam family "Bacterial small subunit ribosomal RNA", at positions 28 to 507 of the family's 1533-position model. The record is from RNAcentral.
GAUGAACGCUGGCGGCGUGCCUAAUACAUGCAAGUCGAGCGAACAGACGAGGAGCUUGCUCCUUUGACGUUAGCGGCGGACGGGUGAGUAACACGUGGGUAACCUACCUAUAAGACUGGGAUAACUUCGGGAAACCGGAGCUAAUACCGGAUAAUAUUUCGAACCGCAUGGUUCGAUAGUGAAAGAUGGCUUUGCUAUCACUUAUAGAUGGACCUGCGCCGUAUUAGCUAGUUGGUAAGGUAACGGCUUACCAAGGCAACGAUACGUAGCCGACCUGAGAGGGUGAUCGGCCACACGGGAACUGAGACACGGUCCCGACACCUAGGGGAGGCCACAGUAGGGAAUCUUCCGCAAUGGGCGAAAGCCUGACGGAGCAACGCCGCGUGAGUGAUGAAGGUCUGCGGAUCGUAAAACUCUGUUAUUAGGGAAGAACAAACGUGUAAGUAACUGUGCACGUCUUGACGGUACCUAAUCAGAAAGCCACGGCUAACUACGUG